UGGAUGUCUGUGUGCUUGGCUGGUCCCAGGUGCCCUGCAUGUGGUCAUGGCACUCCGAUCCCCUUUAGAAACUGCUUCCUCGUAUAUCUAUCCCUCCCGGGUCCCUGAAUGCAGAGGGCUGGGGAGUAUAAACAAAGAGGAAGGAUGGAGGUCCAUCUGGAACGGAACAGAAAGGUCCAUCUGGCUUACAAACAGGAAGGCACAUUCACAUGAGACCAAAGAAGUGAAAAUGUGAAGAACAUGUUUUUUGUAAAAGGCUUAAUUACUACGUAUUAAGUACCAAAGGCCGGUGAUGAGUAUGUGAUGAGAUGUGAGGAACAGAACUGCCCGAGCUCUCCACACCUGACGUCCAACUGGAAAAAGUACCCGUUCACCUUUGGUUGUCAACGACUCAGCGUUGUGUUUCUAAACUUGUACAGCACUGGAAUGAAAGCCUUCAUGUUAUUGGAUGUGCUUGGGCUUAGAAAUUUAACUUCUUACGAUGCCAUUUCAAAAAGAGCUUAAAGCAUCUA
This is a long non-coding RNA of Suricata suricatta (meerkat), 512 nucleotides long. RefSeq lists it as uncharacterized. The transcript has 3 exons. NCBI's taxonomy places the organism in Eukaryota, Metazoa, Chordata, Mammalia, Carnivora, Herpestidae. The record is from RefSeq and is a predicted model, not a curated record.